Molecule: non-coding RNA, 711 nt
Organism: Parasteatoda tepidariorum (common house spider)
Lineage: Eukaryota; Metazoa; Arthropoda; Arachnida; Araneae; Theridiidae
Source: RefSeq, a predicted model, not a curated record
UAGUUUUACUUUUUAAAGGCCUUAUAAUCACUGUUAAACAUUUUCUGCAUCUAUUUCCACUUCAUUAAGCACCUUGAUGAUUUCUUAAUUGAAUAAUAAUAUUUUCGUUGAUCUUUUUCUUGCGCUCCUUUUGGAUAGUUCGCAAUUGGGUAUGUUUUAAAUAUGAAUACAUUAUUUAGCUUUUAGUAGGCUUCAUGCGCUCUAAUCCUAAUUUUUGAUGCAGAUAAAAAUAUCAUUGCUGCUUGCUUUUAAUAUAUUUCUUCUCACGUUCCUGAACUGGCCACCGCAUUCUCCACAUUUGACAUGCUUGUAUUUCUUCAUGUGGGGUCAAAUAUAAAACAAGUAACCUGUGCAAUCAAUAGUCUUGAAGCAUCUAAAGAUCUGGUUGCCACCGAAAAUGUGCUGACUGUUUUUGCUCAUGUACACCAAUUCAUGCGCCACUUCUUUGAAUCUUGUUGAUACUCGCUCUAUCAAUUUCAGGACUCCAUUACACCUCACACUAUAGUCACUCUUCCUAAUUCCAAAGGCUUGCAACUCCUUCUUUGUUAUGAUAUAUCUGUAAUGAGAGGAGCCAGGCCCUGUAAAGAGGUUAAGUCUGAGCUACAUCUCAGAAAAGAUAUAAGAAAUUUAUUUUAAUGUAAUUUUUUUCCCUAUCGCAGAAUAUGUAUUACUUACUUAUGCCUCUGUAUGUAAUAAAAAUAUAAUUCAGUA